UGACGUGGAUGUUUUAUCGUCAGUUACAAUAGGGAAAUUUACCUUUUUCUAUUAAUGUCAUAAAUUUUGCAUUUAUUUGAAUGAGCUUGCAAAAUUAGCAAUCGUAUUUCACCUAAAUAGAGAAACACUCAUCUCGAUAGUCUAUAGGAAUUAGUAGCAAUAUGUUUGAAAUAAGUGAUACACAGAAAAUUGGAGUCGGUUUGGCCGGAUUCGGUGUGGCAUUCGUAUUCCUUGGUGUGCUACUAUUGUUCGAUAAGGGCCUGUUGGCUAUUGGAAAUAUCUUGUUCAUAUGCGGAUUGGCUUGUAUCAUCGGUCUGGAGCGGACGUUCCGGUUUUUCGUGCAACGAAAGAAAAUCAAAUCAUCUCUUGCAUUCUUCGGCGGAAUUGUCAUCGUUCUUCUCGGAUGGCCAUUGAUUGGCAUGAUUAUUGAAUCCUAUGGAUUUUUCCUUUUGUUUAGCGGUUUCUUCCCGGUUGCCAUUAACUUUUUGCGAAGAGUACCGAUUUUGGGUCGAGUUCUUAACCUGCCUGGAAUUAGCACGAUUGUAGAUAAAUUAACCGGCGACUCAGAGCGAACAAGGGUAUGAAACUCGCCAUAGACAUGCAAAUGUUUAAAUUAAGAAUUAGUGUUUGUACGUACCUGUGUGUAUAAGUUAAAAAGAAGAUGUAAGAAGCUAAGCAACCAAACCACGAUGACUAAUUCCGUAUUCAUUCAUGUACGAUUGCAUCCUAUUAUUCCGCAUACUACGGAGCUUUGAAUGAUGACGAUCCAUUCCUAAUGGAAUAAUCAAAACUGAUUCUAUUGUUUCCAACCGCGACACGUGAAACCAAAGCAACAUACUGCGGCUCUUAUCUUAUGCGAUAACCUAAUGAUCACUCCAAAGGGGGCCUCCUUAUCACGGUUGAAUAUUUUUUAUUAAUUAGGCCAAAAAGCGACAAAUGUCAAGCAAGAUACCUUCUGU
RNA transcript from Sitodiplosis mosellana (orange wheat blossom midge), 959 nucleotides. It is a transcript of the gene named vesicle transport protein GOT1B, with no coding region annotated. The transcript is spliced from 6 exons. Lineage: Eukaryota; Metazoa; Arthropoda; Insecta; Diptera; Cecidomyiidae. The record is from RefSeq and is a predicted model, not a curated record.